GUGGAGUCUGAGGAAUCGCCAGGAGAUGCCAUGAGAUGCAAAGAAGCAGCAUGGAAAGUACUUACAUGAGAUGGAUGUCUGACUACUUUUGUCUUUGCCAACCAUGUUCAACACCAGGCAUCUAGAAAAUUUAAAUAAGGAGCAACAUAUGUUUGAGGAUUAAGCCAAAGACUGACCACUGCCCCCAAUGAAGCCAUUGAGACCAUGAAGACCUAGGGCAGUGUAGGUAGUGGGUAAGUCUCUGUCAGUUUAAUUGAUACAUAGGCCAUUUGGAUUAUACCUCCUGUUUUAAUUUAUCCUUCUGAGAUCUCUGAUGAGACUGACUGGCUGUAGCUUUAAAAGCAGUAAGCAUGACAGCUCCUCCCCAAGACCGCAGCUAGCGUCUCUUCAGGCACAUGUAUGUAUGUGUGAAUGCCUGCUUGUAGAGGCCCUGUGUAGAUGUCCAGAGUCAUCUUCCCCUGCUCUUCCACCUAAUUCAUUGAGUCAGGGUCUCUCAAUCAAACCCAGAGCUCACCAAGGCUAGUCUUGCUAGUCGGGCUGUUCUGAGAAGGCUGGCAUUAUAGGCAGGCUAUGUGGCAUUUAUGCGGGUUCUGGGAAUGAACUCAGAUCCUCUCUCUUGUGCAGUAAGCCCUUUUA
This 636-nucleotide long non-coding RNA is filed under the name Cricetulus griseus (Chinese hamster). RNAcentral's name for it is "lncRNA (ENSCGRG00015039782.1)". The record is from RNAcentral. Lineage: Eukaryota; Metazoa; Chordata; Mammalia; Rodentia; Cricetidae.